CAUGUUAUUGGUAUAUUUAGUGUAUGUAUAUUAUCCCUCACAGUCACGUAGACUUACUUUCCAUGUUACAAUGACGGAUCCACUUUCCUCAUACAUGAUCUUGGAUUCAAAAGUUGACUACUGGGCACCCAUAUGACCAACAGUAGGCUAAGUGAUUCUCCAAAUAAACAUGGAAGGAAUCUUCUAGUUGUAGCAUUCUAUGAUCUACCAUUGCAACAAAGAGAAGUUUCUCCCUUUAUCCCUAUUACCGCUUUUGCCUAAUUAACCCCACCUCACCGAUGCAGCAGCUGUGAAUUCAAUUUUCUUCUGGUUUGGCAAUCUUGCUGUUUCACGUCUUCUGGGUCCGAUCUGAAUUUACUUCUGCUUGAUUACUUUGUUUUGAUAUUGAUUGCCGCCAUCUUUCCUCUUUUCAUCCCUAAUUUUUUUUUUUCUAAUUUCAGAGUUCAAGUAACGAUUCUUGUUUGUGACAAGAUUUAUUGAGAGAACACUUUUUGUAGUAGUUAAUGCGAAUCCUCUAUUGCUGCAGCAACUGGGUAUGCCUGUAACCCUCUUGACGAGUUCUUCGAGGCAGAUUGAAGUCAAGAUGAGGACAUACCUGCUGUCUAGGGACAGUACUCUUUAUUUAUUUAUUUUUUAACUAUUACUCAUUUCUUAAUAUUGUCUAUUGACAUUCUUGAAUCGAAUUACAUUGGGUUCAAAGGAAUGAGAGCAGGAUUAUUGUUAAAUUUCAGUCAUUGCAGCAACAUAUUAUUCUUGGAGAUGGUUCGUGUUUGCAUCAAGACUGUGAAGAUGUCCUCUUGCCAGGUCAUUGAGAGGGAGGUACUGUAAAGUAAAAUGACCUUGGACUUCCACACCAACAAGAAGAUCUUGAAAGAAGUUGCUAUCAUUCCCUCGUAGCGGCUUGUAAUAAGUUUGCUGGAUUUUCCACCCACCAAUGAAGCGUAUUCAGAAGGGUACUGUUUGUGGUAUCUCUUCGAAACUGCAAGAGGAAAAGCGUGAACAUCUCAUGGACUUCGUGCUGGAACAGUCUGCCAUUAAGAUCAGAUACCAGAAAAAAUAUAAGCGAGUAGACAUUCGAGCGAUUGAGAAUUGGGUUCGUCAAAUCUUAUAAGGCCUCUUGUAUCUACAUGGCCAUGAUCCUCUAGCAAUUCAUAGACCUGAAAUGUGACAACAUCUUUUUCAAUGGCCAUUUUGGAAUGUGGUGCUAGAAAACCAUCAAAUAUAUGUAUAUGUAUUAUUUUUUUUUUUUUUAGUAGUAGGGAAUUUAAUAUUAUCUUGUUAAAUUCUUAACAUUAAUUUGUACAAAUUCAUUAUAAUUUAUAACAUCAAGAAUAAAUGCAAAUUAGUGUGAAAAA
Molecule: long non-coding RNA, 1355 nt
Organism: Hevea brasiliensis (rubber tree)
Lineage: Eukaryota; Viridiplantae; Streptophyta; Magnoliopsida; Malpighiales; Euphorbiaceae
Exons: 3
Source: RefSeq, a predicted model, not a curated record